ACACGACUACAUUAGAUACCCGCGUAGUCCUAGCCGUAAACGAUACUCGCUAGGUGUCGGCCACGGUGCGACCGUUGUCGGUGCCGUAGGAAGCCGUGAAGCGAGCCACCGUGGGAAGUACGGCCGCAAGGCUGAAACUUAAAGGAAUUGGCGGGGAGCACCACAACGGGUGGAGCUUGCGGUUUAAUUGGAUUCAACGCCGGAAGUCUUACCGGGACCGACAGCAACAUGAAGGCCAGGCUGAAGACUUUGCCGGAUUAGCUG
This 264-nucleotide ribosomal RNA is filed under the name uncultured archaeon. RNAcentral's name for it is "partial 16S ribosomal RNA". It matches the Rfam family "Archaeal small subunit ribosomal RNA", at positions 717 to 982 of the family's 1478-position model. The record is from RNAcentral.